AAGUCGUAACAAGGUUUCCGUAGGUGAACCUGCGGAAGGAUCAUUAAUGAUUGGGAGACUGUGCUGGCACUAUCUGGGUAUGUGCACGUCUCUAUAAACUCCAAUUUCUACACCCCUGUGCACCUUACAUAGGUAUAGGUUUUUCUGUGGGCUGUCUCUGGAUGGCUUGCUGGCCUUGCCUAUGCAUUUUACAAACGCUUCAGUUUUAGAAUGUCAUAUCGCAUACAAUGCAAUAUAUACAACUUUCAGCAACGGAUCUCUUGGCUCUC
RNAcentral lists this unclassified non-coding RNA (269 nucleotides) under Radulodon americanus. RNAcentral describes it as "partial internal transcribed spacer region". The stretch from base 1 to 46 matches the Rfam family "Eukaryotic small subunit ribosomal RNA", at positions 1786 to 1831 of the family's 1831-position model. The record is from RNAcentral. Lineage: Eukaryota; Fungi; Basidiomycota; Agaricomycetes; Polyporales; Cerrenaceae.